RNAcentral lists this ribosomal RNA (573 nucleotides) under Triticum aestivum (bread wheat). Its description in RNAcentral is "partial small subunit ribosomal RNA". The record is from RNAcentral. Lineage: Eukaryota; Viridiplantae; Streptophyta; Magnoliopsida; Poales; Poaceae.
AUGCAGACAACUGUUCCUUGUAAUGGAGAUGAGCCUAUCGUUGAGGAUGAUGAUGACGACGAUGAGGACGAUGAUGAGGAUGAGGAUGAAAAAGAUGACGAUGGCGUUGCGGGAGUUGAUGCUAGUGGAAGAUCUAGGCAGAGUAGGAGCGAGAAGAAGAGCAGGAAAGCCAUGGAGAAGCUUGGCAUGAAGGCCAUUACUGGUGUGAGCCGUGUAACUAUCAAGAAGAACAAGAGCGUUUUGUUUGUCCUCUCCAAGCCAGAUGUCUUCAAGAGCUCAAACUCAGAUACCUACGUCAUGUUCGGGGAGGCCAAGAUUGAGGACCUGAGCACUCAGCUGCAUUCACAAGCGGCGGAGCAGUUCAAGGCGCCGAGCCCGAGCAGCGUCAUCUCGAAGGGCGAGCCGUCCAUGGCAGCAGCCCAUGACGACGAGGAGGUUGAUGAGACUGGUGUUGACAAGAAGGACGUUGAGCUCGUGAUGACGCAGGCCUCCGUGCCGAGGUCCAGGACUGUGAAGGCACUCAAGGCUGCGGGCGGUGACAUUGUCAGUGCCAUCAUGGAGUUGACUAACUAG